GGACGUGAGGAGCAUCUGGCAGGGACACCGUCGCCCCACUGAUCCCCAGGGCUGGUUCAGGUGACCGGGCUGGUCAAGCGGGCGUCCCCUUCCCCCCGCAUCCCGCGCUCCCUGCGCACCCCUCCGGGAGCUGUGCACUCAGCCGAGGAGGACAACCAAUGGGGAGGACUGGUCUUUGGUCAAGGGUGCACGAGUAGCUAUGCUCGCCUGCUAGAGCCUCCAGACAAGCUCGCCGAAGGCCCCGAGCAAAAGCGGCUCUUGUCCUGCAGGUGAGGAGCAGGGGCGUUGCUUCACCAUCGAGUACGUGAU
Unclassified non-coding RNA from Bison bison bison, 309 nucleotides. Its record names the gene 7SK. It matches the Rfam family "7SK RNA". Rfam says of the family: 7SK was discovered as an abundant small nuclear RNA in the mid-70s but a possible function has only recently been suggested. Two independent studies have found that 7SK RNA binds the CDK9/cyclin T complex (known as elongation factor P-TEFb). P-TEFb activates transcription by phosphorylating the C-terminal domain of RNA polymerase II. Lineage: Eukaryota; Metazoa; Chordata; Mammalia; Artiodactyla; Bovidae. The record is from Ensembl.